This 331-nucleotide ribosomal RNA is filed under the name uncultured eukaryote. Its description in RNAcentral is "partial 18S ribosomal RNA". It matches the Rfam family "Eukaryotic small subunit ribosomal RNA", at positions 1470 to 1796 of the family's 1831-position model. The record is from RNAcentral.
CCCUUAGAUGUUCUGGGCCGCACGCGCGCUACACUGACGAAGUCAGCGAGCAUGUCCUACGCCGACAGGUGCGGGGAAUCUUGUCAAACUUCGUCGUGAUGGGGAUUGAUUUUUGAAAUUCUUGAUCAUAAACGAGGAAUUCCUAGUAAGCGCAAGUCAGCAGCUUGCGUUGAUUACGUCCCUGCCCUUUGUACACACCGCCCGUCGCUACUACCGAUUGAAUGGUUUAGUGAGAUCUUCGGAUUGGCGCCACUGCAGCUCAGCAAUGGGCUUGGUGGAUGCCGAAAAGUUGAUCAAACUUGAUCAUUUAGAGGAAGGAGAAGUCGUAACA